RNAcentral lists this ribosomal RNA (253 nucleotides) under uncultured Gardnerella sp. Its description in RNAcentral is "partial 16S ribosomal RNA". It matches the Rfam family "Bacterial small subunit ribosomal RNA", at positions 100 to 354 of the family's 1533-position model. Lineage: Bacteria; Bacillati; Actinomycetota; Actinomycetes; Bifidobacteriales; Bifidobacteriaceae. The record is from RNAcentral.
CGGGUAGAGUAAUGCGUGACCAACCUGCCCCAUGCUCCANAAUAGCUCUUGGAAACGGGUGGUAAUGCUGGAUGCUCCAACUUGACGCAUGUCUUGUUGGGAAAGUGUUUAGUGGCAUGGGAUGGGGUCGCGUCCUAUCAGCUUGUAGGCGGGGUAAUGGCCCACCUAGGCUUCGACGGGUAGCCGGCCUGAGAGGGCGGACGGCCACAUUGGGACUGAGAUACGGCCCAGACUCCUACGGGAGGCAGCAGGC